RNAcentral lists this ribosomal RNA (119 nucleotides) under Pteropus alecto (black flying fox). The record is from RNAcentral. Lineage: Eukaryota; Metazoa; Chordata; Mammalia; Chiroptera; Pteropodidae.
UUUUAUGGCCAUGCCACCCUGAACAAGCCCGAUCCCGUCUGAUCUCGGAAGCUAAGCAGGGUCGGGCCUGGUUAGUACUUGGAUGAGAGACCACCUAGGAAGACCAGGUGCUGUAAGCA